UCAGAAAUUCCAUCAAGCCCCAAAUCUUUUGGUGUGCUGUGGAUGAGCUGUCAGAAGAUCCAGUAACACUGCAGGUGACAUGAAUUCCAAACCUGAAUCAUGCAAUGAGCUCUGUCCUUCAUGGCAUCUUCAGCAGAUUCCUCUGAGCUUGAAUUUUCAAAAGCUGUUAUAAAUCCAAGCCCUGCAGUUCUACACUGGAAGCAGAACCAUGUCAUACCUCCAGAUGAAAGGAUUUUAAGCCAGCUGCACA
Molecule: long non-coding RNA, 250 nt
Organism: Pipra filicauda (Wire-tailed manakin)
Lineage: Eukaryota; Metazoa; Chordata; Aves; Passeriformes; Pipridae
Exons: 3
Source: RefSeq, a predicted model, not a curated record